Long non-coding RNA from Xiphophorus couchianus (Monterrey platyfish), 178 nucleotides. RefSeq lists it as uncharacterized. The transcript has 3 exons. The record is from RefSeq and is a predicted model, not a curated record. Lineage: Eukaryota; Metazoa; Chordata; Actinopteri; Cyprinodontiformes; Poeciliidae.
UGGGAAAAAUGUCUUGUUAUAAGUGAAAUAGUCUGCCAAUGUAACUAGUACUUUCUCAUCAAAAAUAAGGAAUUAUUUUCUUAUAGAAAGCUCCUAUCUCUUGCUGAAUGGUUACUUAUAAGUUUGUUUUUGUCUUAUUUCAAGUGUACUAAAAUAUUUGCACUAGAAAUUAGGCAAA